GAGGUUAUAGCUCAGUGGUAGAGUGCAUGCUUAGCAUGCACAAGAUCCUGGGUUCAAUCCCCAGGGCCUCC
This 71-nucleotide transfer RNA is filed under the name Camelus bactrianus (Bactrian camel). It matches the Rfam family "tRNA". Rfam says of the family: Transfer RNA (tRNA) molecules are approximately 80 nucleotides in length. Their secondary structure includes four short double-helical elements and three loops (D, anti-codon, and T loops). Further hydrogen bonds mediate the characteristic L-shaped molecular structure. tRNAs have two regions of fundamental functional importance: the anti-codon, which is responsible for specific mRNA codon recognition, and the 3' end, to which the tRNAs corresponding amino acid is attached (by aminoacyl-tRNA synthetases). tRNAs cope with the degeneracy of the genetic code in two manners: having more than one tRNA (with a specific anti-codon) for a particular amino acid; and 'wobble' base-pairing, i.e. permitting non-standard base-pairing at the 3rd anti-codon position. The record is from Rfam by way of RNAcentral. Lineage: Eukaryota; Metazoa; Chordata; Mammalia; Artiodactyla; Camelidae. RNAcentral also lists the same sequence under 2 other names.